AUAUAGUCAGUGAGAGCCCUGUCGUCUGGUUGUCUGUCUGUUAGAAAGUUCUUGCUUUCCCAAGAAGUUAGUCAGUCUCUGUCCUCCACCCCCAACCCCCACUCCCAACUCCUGCAAGUCCAAGGACUGCGUUGUCCUUGGAGGGGAAGGGUAUGGCAUUUACAGGGUUUGCCAGUCAGUUCCUCUCAGCCCUUGGGCUUUGGGAGAGACACUGCUUCAAGCCCAUCCCUUCUCAGUGCCCCCCCCACUUCCCCUGGGUUUCACAGAUCACAAAAUUGAGCAGGAUGGUGUGGUUUGGGGGACACCCCCUCCCACCUCACUGAGGGUGUCCACGUGCUCCUGAGAGUCAGUUUAAAAGAUCAGCUUAGAUACCCACGGUUCACCAAGCUGCCCCCUUCAUCCCCGAGCUUUCAGCAUCAGCUUCGGUGAACGUUUGCCCCGGGUCCAGCAGAAUCCUGGCUGAAGUAGAGGCAGGUCUCAGCAAAAACCCGCUUUAGAGCAGAGGCAAGAUAUUCCUAAGACGUUUUCACUGUUGGCCUGGAUGUGGGUAGGUGGUGUCUCUGGAAGUAAUGACAGGAGCCGUAACAAACUCUCAAUCUGUCUGUCUGAGAUGAAGAUGCCUUUUGAAAAUAAAAUUAAAGAUCUUUUAGAAGCAAAUCAA
RNAcentral lists this long non-coding RNA (661 nucleotides) under Rattus norvegicus (Norway rat). Its description in RNAcentral is "long non-coding RNA NONRATT007631". The record is from RNAcentral. Lineage: Eukaryota; Metazoa; Chordata; Mammalia; Rodentia; Muridae.